RNAcentral lists this ribosomal RNA (2747 nucleotides) under Alphaproteobacteria bacterium. Its description in RNAcentral is "23S ribosomal RNA". It matches the Rfam family "Bacterial large subunit ribosomal RNA". The record is from RNAcentral. Lineage: Bacteria; Pseudomonadati; Pseudomonadota; Alphaproteobacteria.
AUUCAAGCGUUUUGAAGGGCAUCUGGUGAAUGCCUUGGCGAUUAGAGGCGAAGAAGGACGUGACAGGCUGCGAUAAGCCGCGGUAAGGGGCCAAUACCCGUUAUACCCGCGGAUCUCCGAAUGGGGAAACCCACUCUUUAUUGAGUAUCUUGACGUGAAUACAUAGCGUCUUGAAGCAAACCUGGGGAAGUGAAACAUCUCAGUACCCAGAGGAAAGGAAAUCAACCGAGACUCCCGUAGUAGUGGCGAGCGAACCGGGACCAGCCCAGCGGCUGUUCUGUAAUAACUGGAAGUGUCUGGAAAGUCACACCAAAGUAGGUGAUAGUCCUGUACAGGUAAAAAACAGAGCAGUCCUCGAGUAGGACGGAACACGUGAAAUUCUGUCUGAACAUGGGGGGACCAUCCUCCAAGGCUAAGUACUCCUAAUCGACCGAUAGUGAACAAGUACCGUGAGGGAAAGGUGAAAAGAACCCCGAUAAGGGGAGUGAAAUAGACCUGAAACCGGAUGCCUACAAGCAGUGGGAGCACCAUUAAGGUGUGACCGCGUACCUUUUGUAUAAUGGGUCAGCGAGUUAGUCUGUCAUGCAAGCUUAAGCCGAUAGGCGUAGGCGUAGCGAAAGCGAGUCUUAAACGGGCGCUCAGUAUGACGGAUUAGACCCGAAACCCGGUGAUCUAGAUAUGGACAGGUUGAAGGUUGGGUAACACCAACUGGAGGACCGAACCCAUCGACGUUGCAAAGUCGUGGGAUGAUCUGUGUCUAGGGGUGAAAGGCCAAUCAAACCGGGUAAUAGCUGGUUCUCCGCGAAAUCUAUUUAGGUAGACCGUUAUGACCUCACCUUCGGGGGUAGAGCACUGGAAGGGCUAGGGGGGCGCGAGCCUUACCAAACCUUACCAAACUCCGAAUACCGAAGAGUGUAAUCAUAGCAGACAGACUACGGGUGAUAAGGUCCGUGGUCGAAAGGGAAACAGCCCAGACCAACAGCUAAGGUCCCCAAAUGACGACUCAGUGGAAAAGCAAGUCGGAUGUCCAUAACAACCAGGAAGUUGGCUUAGAAGCAGCCAUCUUUUAAAGAAAGCGUAAUAGCUCACUGGUCUAAAUAAGACGUCUGGCGGCGAAGAUGUAACGGGUCUUAAGUCGUCUACCGAAGCUUUGGAUGCACACUUUGUGUGCGUGGUAGCGGAGCAUUCUGUAAGCCUGCGAAGGAUAACCGCGAGGUUAUCUGGAGGUAUCAGAAGAGAGAAUGCUGACAUGAGUAACGAUAAAGAGUGUGAGAAACACUCUCGCCGAAAUCCCAAGGGUUCCUGAUUUAAGUUAAUCUGAUCAGGGUGAGCCGGCCCCUAAGGCGAGGGCGAAAGCCGUAGUCGAUGGGAACCACGUUAAUAUUCGUGGGCCAGUGGAUGUGUGACGGUGUCCGUAAAUUGUUCUUCCUUAUUGGAUUGGAAGGGCCGUGAAGGGCAUCCAGGAAAUAGCCUCCACACAGACCGUACCCUAAACCGACACAGGUGGGAUGGUAGAGAAUACCAAGGCGCUUGAGAGAACUGUCCUGAAGGAACUCGGCAAAUUACUUGCGUAACUUCGGGAUAAGCAAGCCCUGUCAGAAGGCAACUUUUGACGGGGGGCACAGACCAGGGGGUAGCGACUGUUUAUCAAAAACACAGGGCUCUGCGAACACGCGAGUGGACGUAUAGGGUCUGACGCCUGCCCGGUGCCGGAAGGUUAAAGGGAGGAGUGCAAGCUCCGAACUGAAGCCCCGGUAAACGGCGGCCGUAACUAUAACGGUCCUAAGGUAGCGAAAUUCCUUGUCGGGUAAGUUCCGACCUGCACGAAUGGCGUAACGACUUCCCCACUGUCUCCAGGGCAGACUCAGUGAAAUUGAAUUCGAGGUGAAGAUGCCUCGUACCCGCAGUUAGACGGAAAGACCCUAUGAACCUUUACUAUAGCUUCACAGUGGCACCAUGAUUGUAACGUGUAGGAUAGGUGGGAGGCUUUGAAGCCGGGACGCUAGUUUCGGUGGAGCCAAAACUGAAAUACCACCCUUUGCUCUUGUGUUGUCUAACCGAGGUCCGUUAUCCGGAUCCGGGACCCUGUGUGGUGGGUAGUUUGACUGGGGCGGUCGCCUCCUAAAGAGUAACGGAGGCGCGCGAUGGUGAGCUCAGGACGGUCGGAAAUCGUCCUUUGAGUGCAAUGGCAUAAGCUCGCCUUACUGUGAGACUGACACGUCGAACAGUGUCGAAAGACGGUCAUAGUGAUCCGGUGGUUUCCGCAUGGAAGGGCCAUCGCUCAACGGAUAAAAGGUACUCUAGGGAUAACAGGCUGAUAGCGCCCAAGCGUCCAUAGCGACGGCGCUGUUUGGCACCUCGAUGUCGGCUCAUCUCAUCCUGGGGCUGUAGCAGGUCCCAAGGGUAUGGCUGUUCGCCAUUUAAAGAGGUACGUGAGCUGGGUUCAGAACGUCGUGAGACAGUUCGGUCCCUAUCUUCUGCGGGAGUUGGAGUCUUGAGAGGAUCUGCCCUUAGUACGAGAGGACCGGGGUGGACGUACCACUGGUGUACCAGUUGUUCCGCCAGGAGCAGCGCUGGGUAGCUAUGUACGGACUCGAUAACCGCUGAAAGCAUCUAAGCGGGAAACGAACCUCAAUACCAGGACUCCCUAUCAGAGCCGUUAUAGACUAUGACGUUGAUAGGCUGGAUGUGGAAGAGCGGCAACGCUUGAAGCUAACCAGUACUAAUUGCUCGAUCGGCUUGAAUUC